CGGAAAGAAAGAAUAAAAGAGAGCAAGAAGAGAGAGAAUACGGUCAGGAGGCAUGACAAGCAAAAGCAACAUUUCAUAUCACACGAGGAAAAUGAGAGGACAGGAAAGCGGCAGAUAAAUGAGUGAAGUGCUACUAACUGCUGUUUAAAGUGACUUUUAUUUCAAAGAACCUGGCCACUGUGAGGGGUGAAGAUGUAGAUGGCUGAAUCUGUCCAGGAGACCCGGCGCGGACGCAAGACACUUUCCCUCCAACGUCUCCAGCAAACACUCGGAGGGUUGCGGUGUCCCAGCACAGAGACGUCACAGUGGUCCCGCGAUGUUCCCAUGAUGUACACGCUCGCUCUGGACGAC
This is a long non-coding RNA of Triplophysa dalaica, 351 nucleotides long. RefSeq lists it as uncharacterized. Lineage: Eukaryota; Metazoa; Chordata; Actinopteri; Cypriniformes; Nemacheilidae. The record is from RefSeq and is a predicted model, not a curated record. The transcript has 3 exons.